Molecule: long non-coding RNA, 1449 nt
Filed under: Equus caballus (horse)
Lineage: Eukaryota; Metazoa; Chordata; Mammalia; Perissodactyla; Equidae
Description: lncRNA (ENSECAG00000056491.1)
Source: RNAcentral
GGGGCGCGGGGUGGUGUGGCUGCGCCGGCCGAAUCGCCGGCUGCCGCGGGCUCGGCCCACCCACGCUCCCGCCUCCGCUGGCCCGCGCGUCACUCCAGAGGCGGGGCCUCGUGGGCGGUGGGGGGCGAAGGAGGGGUGCUGCGGCGAGCGGGGUCGGCUAACGGCUCCCCACAGGCUCGCCGCAGGUUCCAGCUCGCGCUUCCGAGCUGCUGCUGCUGGGCUGCUGGCCGUGUUCUCCAGGGUGCUUUCGGAAGGUCCUCGCCCCUAUCAGAUUUCAGAGAGGUGCAGAACCGGCCCACGCCCGCACCUGUGCUUGCUUCCCUGGACUCCACAGCGGGAUGAAAGUUCCCCUCGGGUCAUCUUCCAGCUGCCCUCUAAAGAUAAUCAUCUUUGGACUUCACGGCUCUUCCUUUAGAGAGAGAUCUUAACAUUCUUUGAUUAAAGGCAUCCUGCUCCUCCGAGCCUGAGAUAAUGCCUCUCUUCCGUCUAUCGCGCCUCUCUCUGCGUUAAGACCCUCAGUCCCUCCGGCUUAUGAACCAUCACAAGGACGCAGGGUUUUUCACUUUAUGCCUUCCAUUUGCACGAUGGUGUAAUGGCAGAAGAGCCCACACUGAUAAGGAAAAGUCACCACAGCACUGUGACAUCUUACUGGCCCUGAUCAUCUCUUAUGAGCCAGUUCUGCAAAUCCUGUUCCCAAGAAACUCAAGAAAUUGCUGCUAAAAAUAAAAUUCUGGCGAACUGUCUCAGGACUUCAAAAGGGACAGAACAUAAUUGCAAAUAAGCCACGACAAACGGUCAAGAAUAUAUCACCAAAAGAAAUAAAGCGUCAGUUUUCUUCCAGUUCCCUGAUGCAUAAUGGAGGAGUAGCUUCCUCUUCCUGCUAGUAAUUGCUUCUGAACGUGGACUCCUCAGCUUACUGAAGUUCCUCCAACUUUACAAGACCCAAUAACCAGGCCAAAUAUUGUCUUCAGUGGCACGUCUGAAAACACUGGUGAAAUCAGAAACCUAGGCAGAAGAUGAUCUCACUGUUUUUAAAUUAAUUGAGAAACCAAAACAAAUGGAAAGAUAUCGAAUGCAUCUGGAUGGGAAGAGACAGAAUUGUAAAGACUCCACUCUUCCCAAAUUAAUCUAUAAAGUCAGCACAGUCCGAAUCAAAAUCCCAGCAGAGUUUUAAUGGAACUUGACUUCGUGUCUCUCACUAACUCAUUCUCUGUCUUUUUAAAAGCAAACUCGUAUCCUCUAAAUAAAAGCCUCUGCAGUAGCCUUGCAAACUUCUUUAGCAACCUUCUCAAAAAGGGGGAAAAAAAAGAAUAAAAUAUUCAUAUUAUCCAUAAGACCAGAGGCAAAUGAAAUGGACUGUGGUUGUCAUCAAAUCUGCCAGAAAGUUGCUUUUGGUAUAUAUUUUUGCCCACUUUCUGUAGUAAUUGUAGCCCAGUAAUGAUAGGGAAA